This is a long non-coding RNA of Salvelinus fontinalis (brook trout), 3381 nucleotides long. RefSeq lists it as uncharacterized. Lineage: Eukaryota; Metazoa; Chordata; Actinopteri; Salmoniformes; Salmonidae. The transcript has 2 exons. The record is from RefSeq and is a predicted model, not a curated record.
UGUAUUAUUCUACAAUGUAGAAAAUAGAAAAAAUAAAGAAAAACCCUUGAAUGAGUAGGUGUAGUAAAACUUUUGAAUGGUACUGUAUACCACCAACAGGUUUCUGUGCCAAUGCACCAGAUAACCAAUAAACAAAGCAUACCUACCUAUCAUUUCGCGUUUUCAGCACCACAAUAAAGUGACAUAGUCUAUCUCGACAGAGAGAAAAUACAUACCCUACCUUGAAGGCCUACCCAGUAUCGAAGGCUUGACUUGACAAUCUCUAAAUGUCAUUAAACGUUUUUUAUUUUAAUAACCGAUGUCUCUUUUCAUUCAUCAAAUGAGCGCUGCGCAGUUUGGAUUUAUCAAUUGAUUGAUUUUACAAAGUUUAAGUGGAUUGCAGGAUUGCACAAUAAAGUCAGUGACUUAUUUCCUACGUGAUCCCUAUUUUUUUCAAAAAAUACAUAUACAAUUACAUAGAUAAAGACCAAGAAAUGCUCCACCUCCAGAUAAGUUUAGCUCAGCAAAAAGGAUAAGGAAACAUCCUCUCACUGUCAACUGUAUUUAUUUUCAGCAAACUUAACAUGUGUAAAUAUUUGUAUGAACAUAACAAGAUUCAACAACUGAGACAUAAACUGAACAAGUUCCACAGACAUGUGACUAACAGAAAUAGAAUAAUGUGUCCCUGAACAAAGGGGGGGUCCAAAUCAAAAGUAACAGUCAGUAUCUGGUCUGGCCACCAGCUGCAUUAAGUACUGCAGUGCAUCUUCUCCUCAUGGACUGCACCAGAUUUGCCAGUUCUUGCUGUGAGAUGUUACCCAACUCUUCCACCAAGGCACCUGCAAGUUCCCGGAAAUUUCUGAGCUCUAGCCCUCCGAUCCAACAGGUCCCAGACGUGCUCAAUAGGAUUGAGAUCCGGGCUCUUCGCUGGCCAUGGCAGAACACUAACAUUCCUGUCUUGCAGGAAAUCACGCAAAGAACGAACAGUAUAGCUGGUGGCAUUGUCAUGCUGGAGGGUCAUGUCAGGAUGAGCCUGUAGGAAGAGUAACACAUAAGGGAGGAGGAUGUCUUCCCUGUAACACACACAUUUCCUGCAAUGACAACAAGCUCAGUCCGAUGAUGCUGUGACACACCGCCCCAGACCAUGACGGACCCUCCACCUCCAAAUCAAUCCUGCUCCAGUGUACAGGCCUCGUGUUACACUCAUUCGACGAUAAACGCGAAUCCGACCAUAACCCCUGGUGAGAUAAAACCACGACUCGUCAGUGAAGAGCACUUUUUGCCAGUCCUGUCUGGUCCAGUGACGGUGGGUGUGUGCUCAUAGGCGACAUUGUUGCAGGUGAUGUCUAGUGAGGACCUGCCUUACAACAGGCCUACAAGCACUCAGUCCAGGCUCUCUCAGCCCAUUUUAUUAUUAUUUAAAAAAAAAUAACGCUUAUUUAACUAGGCAAGUCAGUUAAGAACAAAUUCUUAUUUUCAAUGACGGCCUAGGAACAGUGGGUUAACUGCCUUGCUCAGGGGCAGAACGACAGAUUUUUACCUUGUCAGCUCGGGGAUUCGAUCUUGCAACCUUUCGGUUACUAGUCCAACGCUCUAACCACUAGGCUACCUGCCGCCUCAUUGCGGUCAGUCUGAGGACUGAUGGAGGGAUUGUGCGUUCCUGGUGUAACUCGGGCAGUUGUUGUUGCCAUCCUGUACCUGUCCUGCAGGUGUGAUGUUCGGAUGUACCGAUCCUGUGCAGGUGUUUUUACACAUGGUCUGCCACUGCGAGGAUGAUCAGCUGUCCGUCCUAUCUUUCUGUAGCGCUGUCUUAGAUGUCUCACAGUACGGACAUUGCAAUUCAUUGCCCUGGCCACAUCUGCAGUCCUCAUGCCUCCUUGCAACAUGCCCAAGGCACGUUCACACAGAUGAGCAGGGACCCUGGGCAUCUUUAUUUUGGUGCUUUUCAGAGUCAGUGGAAAGGCCUCUUUAGUGUCCUACGUUUUCAUAACUGUGACCUUAAUUGCCUACCGUCUGUAAACUGUUAGUGUUUUAACGACCGUUCCACAGGUGCAUGUUCAUUAAUUGUUUAUGGUUCAUUGAACAAGCAUUGGAAACAGUGUUUAAACCCUUUACAAUGAAGAUCUGUGAAGUUAUUUGGAUUUUUACGAAUUAUCUUUUAAAGACAAGGUCCUGAAAAGGGGACGUUUCUUUUUUUGCUGAGUUUAUAAGGGGGAGUUUAAAUCUUACAAGCGUGUUAUAGUCUGUAGCUUAUUCUUUAGGUGUUUGGGGCUGCUGGUAAACCAUGAUGUGCAGGCAUAAUCAAAGUAACACUGGACUAGUGCAGUUGCCUGAGUCUUUAUGGUGUCUAUAGCUAGGUUUUCAUCCAAUUGGCGACAGAUUUUCAUGCAAAUAUUCUAAAAUCUGCAUAAAAACAAUAUGCACAUUUUCCCAUCAGAGUUGUUUCCAACAAAUUACUUGUUGCAGAUAAAAGCCUGUGUGUAAAUAUGUAGUGCACAUAAAAAUAACUUUUGUGGUUAAAUUCUCAUGUACCGAAUAAAAAGUUAAAAGGGUUUCCAUUGCAUUUUCAACUCUAGGCCUACUGAUGGUUUUGUCACAAAAAAUGUUGCGUACAGUGCCUUGCAAAAGUUUUCAUCCCCCUUGGCAUUUUUCCCAUUUUGUUGCAUUACAACUUGUAAUUUAAAUUGAUUCAUGUAAUGGACAUACACAAAAUAGUCAAAAUUGGUGAAGUGAAAUCCCCAAAAUAAAUAAAAAACGGAAAAGUGGUGCAUGCAUAUGUGUUCACUCUCUUUGCUAUGAAGCCCCUAGAAUAAGAUCUGGUGCAACCAAUUACCUUUUAGAAGUCACAUAAUUAGUUAAAUAAAGUUCACCUGUGUGCAAUCUAAGUGUCACAUGAUCUGUCUCAUGAUCUCAGUAUAUAUACACCUGUUCUGUGUCACAUCUGCUCCUGCAACGCCUUCUACUGCUCAUCCUGUGUCUCCUUGACCUGCCGCCACACCCUAGUACUCUCUCUCUCUGUCUCUCUCUCUGCCUCUCUGUGUGUGUGUGGGCGGAGACAGGUGUGCUGGAGUCAGAGCAGAUCCCCACCAGCUGCAACCUGUUCCAUAAUAAAGACCUCUACAAAUACUCAGCCCUUCCAUGCUGCCAGAUCGUAAUCUCUGCUCAUUCUGUCUGCUCUGACUCUGGUCUCUGUCUCCAGUCCCACGUCUCGUCAUCCUGCUACUCUGUCCUGGAUUCCCCACUCUACUACUCCCUUGGAUUCCCCUCCGGACCUGCUUACCCUGUCUCAACCCCUCUCGCUCCAGCCUCAGCCUCCGAACCUGGUUUCCAGCAACCUGCCCGAGCUUCCCCUGACCUGCACUCCAUCUCCCCCGUGUUUCAAUAAAUACCUUGGUUACUUCA